RNAcentral lists this ribosomal RNA (780 nucleotides) under Epilachna sp. KS112. Its description in RNAcentral is "partial 16S ribosomal RNA". The stretch from base 382 to 540 matches the Rfam family "Bacterial large subunit ribosomal RNA", at positions 2473 to 2632 of the family's 2925-position model. The record is from RNAcentral. Lineage: Eukaryota; Metazoa; Arthropoda; Insecta; Coleoptera; Coccinellidae.
CUCUUUUUGAUUAUAAUUUAAAGUAGGGCCUGCCCACUGAGUAUUGAAGGGCCGCAGUAUUUUGACUGUGCAAAGGUAGCAUAAUCAUUAGUUUUUUAAUUGAAAGCUUGUAUGAAUGGUUUGAUGAGAAAAUAGCUGUCUCAAUUUUAAUAAUUUAAAAUUUUAUUUUUAAGUAAAAAAGCUUAAAUAAUUUUAAAAGACGAGAAGACCCUAUAGAGUUUAAUUAAAAAUAAUUUUAUAAAUUUUAGAAUUAAUAUUUUUUAAUGUUAUUUUUAAUUGGGUUGGGGUGACUAAAAAAUUAAAAGAACUUUUUUUUUAUUUAUACAUUAAUUUAUGAUUAAUUGAUCCAUUUAAAUGAUUAAAAGAAUAAAUUACCUUAGGGAUAACAGCGUAAUUUUUUUUGAAAGUUCUUAUUGAAAAAAAAGAUUGCGACCUCGAUGUUGGAUUAAAAUUUAUUUUUGGUGUAGGAGCUAAAAAAUUAGGUCUGUUCGACCUUUGAAAUUUUACAUGAUCUGAGUUUAAACCGGUGUAAGCCAGGUUGGUUUCUAUCUUUAAAAAAAUUAAAUAUUUUAGUACGAAAGGAUCAAGUAUUUUAUUUAUAAUAUAAAAUUUUGAAUAAAAAUUUUAUUUUGGCAGAAUAGUGCGAAAGAUUUAGAAUCUUUUUAUGUAAUUUUUACAAAUAAAAAUUGAGAUAGUUUUAAUUUUUUUGAAUUUUUUUUUAUUAUUUAUUGGGGUUUUAGUAGGAGUAGCAUUUUUAACUUUGUUAGAACGAAAGCUUUU